AUCUCUUUGGAUUCUUAUCUGCUGGAGCUAUCUCUCUUUGUCCUCCUUAUUUCCUUCUUAAGUAUGCUCCUCAAUUCCCCCAUACUCCUCUAGGGAUCCUCCAGGGAUAUGCUUGAUUCCAGCUGCCGAAAGCUAAGCGAUGCCUCCUUUUUUUCCUUGACAUAAUCUCAAUUUCGCUCAUCAUACACAGUUUGUCCUCUUACCUUCCUUUGCCUAUCAAUCUGACAGGAACGUACAUACCAUGUUCUCUCACUAUCCCACUUUCAAAAGCAUCCCAUUUUCCAGAUGUCAGUUUUUCUGCAAACAACCCCCUCCAAUCAACUUUUCCAAGUAUUCAAAGGUUAUUUAU
Long non-coding RNA from Amblyraja radiata (thorny skate), 349 nucleotides. RefSeq lists it as uncharacterized. Lineage: Eukaryota; Metazoa; Chordata; Chondrichthyes; Rajiformes; Rajidae. The record is from RefSeq and is a predicted model, not a curated record. The transcript is spliced from 3 exons.